This 887-nucleotide ribosomal RNA is filed under the name Lentithecium fluviatile. RNAcentral's name for it is "SSU rRNA". It matches the Rfam family "Eukaryotic small subunit ribosomal RNA", at positions 128 to 1024 of the family's 1831-position model. The record is from RNAcentral. Lineage: Eukaryota; Fungi; Ascomycota; Dothideomycetes; Pleosporales; Lentitheciaceae.
UACCUUACUACUUGGAUAACCGUGGUAAUUCUAGAGCUAAUACAUGCUGAAAACCCCGACUUCGGAAGGGGUGUAUUUAUUAGAUAAAAAACCAAUGCCCUCCGGGGCUCCUUGGUGAUUCAUAAUAACUUCUCAGAUCGCAUGGCCUUGCGCCGGCGACGGUUCAUUCAAAUUUCUGCCCUAUCAACUUUCGAUGGUAAGGUAUUGGCUUACCAUGGUUUCAACGGGUAACGGGGAAUUAGGGUUCGAUUCCGGAGAGGGAGCCUGAGAAACGGCUACCACAUCCAAGGAAGGCAGCAGGCGCGCAAAUUACCCAAUCCCGACACGGGGAGGUAGUGACAAUAAAUACUGAUACAGGGCUCUUUUGGGUCUUGUAAUUGGAAUGAGUACAAUUUAAACCUCUUAACGAGGAACAAUUGGAGGGCAAGUCUGGUGCCAGCAGCCGCGGUAAUUCCAGCUCCAAUAGCGUAUAUUAAAGUUGUUGCAGUUAAAAAGCUCGUAGUUGAACCUUUGGCCUGGCUGGCAGGUCCGCCUCACCGCGUGCACUUGUCCGGCCGGGCCUUCUCUUCUGGAGAACCGCAUGCCCUUCACUGGGUGUGUUGGGGACCAGGACUUUUACUUUGAAAAAAUUAGAGUGUUCAAAGCAGGCCUUUGCUCGAAUACGUUAGCAUGGAAUAAUAGAAUAGGACGUGCGGUCCUAUUUUGUUGGUUUCUAGGACCGCCGUAAUGAUUAAUAGGGACAGUCGGGGGCAUCAGUAUUCAAUUGUCAGAGGUGAAAUUCUUGGAUUUAUUGAAGACUAACUACUGCGAAAGCAUUUGCCAAGGAUGUUUUCAUUAAUCAGUGAACGAAAGUUAGGGGAUCGAAGACGAUCAGAUACCGUCGUAGU